Molecule: ribosomal RNA, 254 nt
Filed under: uncultured bacterium
Lineage: Bacteria
Description: partial 16S ribosomal RNA
Rfam family: Bacterial small subunit ribosomal RNA
Source: RNAcentral
UACGUAGGGGGCGAGCGUUGUCCGAAGUUACUGGGCGUAAAGCGCGCGUAGGCGGCCAUCUAAGUUCGGGGUGAAAGGUUCAACGCUCAACGUGAACAGUGCCCUGAAUACUGGCUGGCUUGAGUUCGGGAGGGGGCAGUGGAAUUCCAGGUGUAGCGGUGAAAUGCGUAGAUAUCUGGAGGAACACCGAUGGCGAAGGCAGCUGCCUGGCCCAGAACUGACGCUGAGGUGCGAAAGCGUGGGGAGCGAACGGG